This is a long non-coding RNA of Cyprinus carpio carpio, 4493 nucleotides long. NCBI's taxonomy places the organism in Eukaryota, Metazoa, Chordata, Actinopteri, Cypriniformes, Cyprinidae. The record is from Ensembl.
AAUAUUUAUUAUAUAUAUAUAUAUAUAUAUAUAUAUAUAUAUAUAUAUAUAUAUAUAUAUAUAUAUAUAUAUAUAUAUAUAUAUGAUCAGUGACUCGGGUAGUGACAAUUUCACGUCACGUUUUGGUAAUGGUACGGUUCACUUGGAACCUCAACCGAGGUGGUACUAAAAAAAGUACCAGGUACUGUACCCAGUGGAAAACCCCCCAAAAUUAACCAUACUGUGCCGUACCAUGCAGUGAAAAAGCACCACAAAAGAGACCUUUUCAGAACCUAUUGUUUCAUAUAGGCCAGGGAUCCUUACAUCUGGCUCACGAGAUCCACUUUCCUGCAGACUUUAGUUCUAACCUUAAUCAAACAUACCUGAACAUGUCUUCAGGAUCAUUAGAAAAUCGCAGAUGGGUUUGAUCAAAGUUGGAGCUAAACUCUGCAGUAAAGUGGUUCUCACAGCCAUAUUUGAGGUGUAACAGACAUGAGCCUGUUAAUAAGAAUAUUGUGGGCAGUUUUCUUCCUGUUUUCUUACCACUAUUGGUGCUAGGGUGUUUUAGGUUUCCUUAAGGCAGGGGUCUCCAACCCUGCUCCUGGAGAGCUACCAUCCUGCAGACUUCAGUUUCAACCCUGCUCCAACACACCCGUCUGUAUUAUCAAGUAGCCCUGAACACCUUGAUUAGCUGGUUCAGGUGUGUUUGAUUGGGGUUGGAGCUGAAAUCUGCAGGACAGUAGCUCUCCAGAAGCAGGGUUGGAGACCCCUGCCUUAAGUAAAGCCAGCUGGGUAGAGGGAGUUAGCAAUAGAGACAGAGUGACACGCGUCAUAAUCUGAAAACCACGCCCACCGGGGGGGGAAACAAUCCAAUGCUCUCCAUUGACUUUCUAUUGCGGGAAGCUGCCUUCUUGUAAUUUCUGACUUAUAACAAAAAACAGAGCAAUGCCUAAAAGCUUCUGUGACAAAGUGUACAGUAAACUAGCUAAAAUACCCAGAACUACAUUUUUAUAAGCUGUUGACCUAAAAAAAACAAGCAUUUAGGACACAAAUAGUUGAUGUCAGGGUAUUUUUACAUUGGGCCGUUCAUUUGUAUCAUUUCUCAAACAAAAGGAAGGUUAGGAAAAGGGGCACUGACAUAGACCAAUAAAAUUUUGUUUCUUAAUAUAUCUCCUCCUCUCAGAUUCACAAAUGGUGGUGAAAUAAUCCUUUGACAUGGAUAAAAAAUAAUGAAAGUUUCCUGUUGCCGAUUACGUUUCCCUCUAGUGGGUGUAGAUCUCAAAGUAAUAUGACACAUUGCGCUCUAGUUUUGUGUCCUAAACGCUUGAUUUUGUUGGGGUCGAUGUAGUUCUGUUUUUUUUAAAGCUUUUUUUAGCUUGUUUAAUAAAAGAGAGGAAGUGGAAAUGGAGGAAAUCAGCCUGUAAAGCGUAGACAAAACACCCUUUUUAUCUAAGGCUGCUUCAAGAAUCUGAUCAAGCAAAGAUUUUGGAGGAAGAUUCAGAAAAUCAGGGAAUGAGUUUUUAACAAAAUUUUGGAGCUGCAAAUAUCUAAAAAAUUGUGCACUAGAGAGAGAGAGAAUUUUUGUUUCAACUGAGAAAAGCAGGGAAAAACAUUUUCAAUGUAAAUAUCAUUGACAACUGAAAUCCCUGCUCUCUGCCAAAUAUUAAAUGCCUUGUCAUUAAGUGAAGGAGGGAAUAAAGGGUUGCAAUUCAUAGUUGAAACCACUGGUAAGUGCUGAAGGCCAAAAUGGGUUCGAAAUUGGGACCAAAUUUGUAACGAUUGCCGGACAAUGGAAUUAUCAUAAGGGCAACGCAAGAUGGCAGUAAGAGGGCCACACAAUACUGCGGCAGGUGAGGCAGGGGAACCCUCUUCAAUACUGACCCAAGACGGGACCCAAUCACUGAGCCCAAAAUGACUUUGAAGAUCAUACGAUUUUUAAAGAAGCUAGAAGGCUGAACCUCCUUGCCCUUCCACCCUACCCACUUGGGACUUGGAGCUUGUACUUGAGGCUCUCAUGGGACCCCAGUUCAAGCACAUACAAUCAGCAAGUUUGCGAGAGCGCUCUCUCAAGACAGUGCUCCUGCUUGGGCUGGCCUCUGUUAAGUGAGUUAGGGACCUGCAGGCACUGUCCAUUGAUGACUUAAGGUCUAGACAGUUCAGACUCUCAGAGCAGCUAUUCGUAUGCUUUAGAGCCCCCUUCCUCAAAUCUUGCCCUGGAGGUCCAAUGCGCUGCAGAGAUAAGCUCCAACCCUGAUCAAAGUCACCUGCCUGUGAUUUUCUAAUGAUCCCAAAGACAUUGAUUAGCAUUGAUUAGUAUGCUCAGGUGUGUUUGGUUAGGGUUAGAGCUAAACUCUGCAGGAAAGUGGAUCUCGAGGUCCAGAUCUGAGGAUCCCUGGUCUACGCAAUUGCUUUGGCUUAUAGCUCUAAGGUUGUGGAAUGUCCUAUAGGGGUUCAUGCUCACGUCCUCAUAGGCGUGGGCAAAUGGCAUAUAUAUUCAGAACAUUUGCAUGGCGGCAGGCUGGUCAUUACCCAACACUUUCGCAAGGUUUUAUAACCUAGAUGUAUCGUCGCUUGCCUCACAUGUGCUGUCAGUGCGAGCGGCACACCCGCCUUCUCAGCCUCAGUUAUGAUCUGUGCUGCAUGCAUAAGUGGUUUUGACCAGGUCGUAUACACCCCUGUACUGAUGCUACCAAUCCAAUGCUGCUUCCUAUCAGCUCAUCACACUGUUAUGAAAUAGUUCAACACGCCUUUUAGGAUUUGAUAACCAUCAUACUCUGCUUAUUUGAGCCGUUGUAUCACAACCAUCGAUUUGUAUAAUGUUCUCAAUUAUAGAUCAGUGAUCACAACACAAUUUUGUUGAAAUUAACAAACUUCAGAUAAAGAUUUAUUAAGGAAAGUUUCUGUCAAACAAAUGAACUGUAUUGUAAUGCCAGCUGUAAAAAAGCCACUGCUGAGCAGCAGACAGGUGUUUGAAGCUACUGGAGUCUCAAGAUCCUCUCCAUGCAGACUGACAGUUGUGUGUAAAGCUGUGUUUUAGUCACUGCUAACCAAACCUCACAAAGAGAAACCUGCACAGGUUGAAACAUUGCAUUGUUUCAUACUUUUUCAUCUACAGAAAGAUCUUUCUUCCUCACCAUAUUUCAUGAGAACUGUGACUUGCAUAAUAAUGUGGAACAACCUCUUCAAGUAGGGUUUCCAUUUACCUAAGAAGACCUGGCAACCUAUUGAACAAACCUGUCUGAGAUUUAUACCAGUUAUCUAAAAAGAUGGGAAAAACCACACAAACAAAAAUCUGACUCUUUAUUAUACCGAAAUCCUAUUGAUAUGUCACUUGCAUAAUAAUUUGGAAUGCAGUGUAUUUGUGAUGGCGUUCUGUUUUACCAGCGUUAACUCCGCCCCUGGUGUGAAGCAGCAUCAUCUAGUUGUCACACCCCCUCUUGACUUUUACAUGGUUUCAACUAAGUCCUGUAGACCUGAGCUGUGUUUAACAAGAGUGCAAAUAUCAUUGCUACUCUCAUUACGGUUUCGUCUGUGAAACUUGACAUACUUAGUUGAGCCAGUCUCCAUCGCUGUGACACGGCGGGAUUUUAUACAUUCCCAUAGCAAUGUAGAGUGACUGAAUCGAAAGGGAACGUUCUCGGUUAUUAAUGUAACCUUGUUUCCCUGAGAAGAGGGAACAUAGCUCUUAUUGCCGUGUCACCUAGCUCAGGAUCUUAGAAUGCCAAGUUGAUUCAGUCAAGAUUCUGAAUGGAUGACGUACAAGCACUGCUUUAUAUAGAGUGGGAGCCCCUCAUAUUUUGCGCGCUUGAACGCUAUUUGCCCAUUUCACUGGCGUGAUUCAAUAAGGCUUCAUUAGUAUUUGGAUAGUAUUAGUAUUUAGUAUUUAAUUCCCAUAGCAAUGUCUCGUUCCCUCAUCUCAGGGAGCAUUUUUUGUUAUAAAUCAGAAAUGACAAGGAGGCAGCUUCCCGCAAUAGAAAGUCAAUGGAGAGCGUUGGUUUGUUUUGACGUCACUUUGUAUGCAGCUCGGCUGUUAGCAUCGCACUGGUUCCCUCGACAAAAAAGCCUAUAGGACUUUUCCAUAGGCUUUUGGAUUAUCGCAAAAAAUAAGCUCUCUGUUCAACAACAGUUCAUGAGACUUACACAUUUUGUCCAUCAAAAUAAUCUUCACAAAAUAAUAUAAUUUUGAUGAAUUUUGAAGCCUAAAUAAAAGCGCCAGAACUUAAAAGCUAAACUUAGGCUACAAACGAACUACAUCACCACAGUCGCUCGCCUUCAACGUCACCACCACCAUGUUUCUGACAACUUUUUCAAACUUAUUUUUAACAUGUUCAGUGAAAAGGAUUUAGUCUGUAUAUUAAUUUUAACCCACGCUACAUGAACCUUUUCAUAUAAACUGGAAUAAAUACAGAAACUAGAGCCAAACUAAAACUUAUAUGAGACAUUAAUAGUAAAUAGUAUAGUGAAUAAAUUAAAUAAUCAUAACUAAAGGACUUUUAAAGCACGUAUUUCUGUAC